GCGGGUGUAGUUCAAUGGUAGAACGGGAGCUUCCCAAGCUCUCAGCGUGGGUUCGAUUCCCAUCACCCGCU
Molecule: non-coding RNA, 71 nt
Organism: Gammaproteobacteria bacterium
Lineage: Bacteria; Pseudomonadati; Pseudomonadota; Gammaproteobacteria
Source: Rfam